This 256-nucleotide ribosomal RNA is filed under the name uncultured bacterium. Its description in RNAcentral is "partial 16S ribosomal RNA". It matches the Rfam family "Bacterial small subunit ribosomal RNA", at positions 524 to 776 of the family's 1533-position model. The record is from RNAcentral.
GACGUAGGUGGCGAACGUUAUCCGGAAUUAUUGGGCGUAAAGGGUGCGUAGGCGGCAUGAUAAGUUAUUGGCGGCAAAUCGAGGCUCAACCUCGUGGAAACUGAUAAUACUGUCUUGCUUGAGUACAGUAGAGGUUAACGGAACUCCAUGUGGAGCGGUAAAAUGUGUAGAUAUAUGGAAGAACAUCAAUAACGGCGAAGGCAGUUAACUAUGCUGUUACUGACGUUGAGGCACGAAAGCGUGGGGAGCAAAACGG